CACGUAGGGGGCAAGCGUUGUCCGGAUUUAUUGGGCGUAAAGAGCUCGUAGGUGGUUCGGUAAGUCGGGUGUUAAACCCCCAGGCUCAACCUGGGGACGCCACUCGAUACUGCUGUGACUAGAGUCCGGUAGGGGAGCGUGGAAUUCCUGGUGUAGCGGUGAAAUGCGCAGAUAUCAGGAGGAACACCUAUAGCGAAGGCAGCUUGCUGGGACGUUACUGACGCUAAGGCGCGAAAGCGUGGGGAGCGAACAGG
This 254-nucleotide ribosomal RNA is filed under the name uncultured bacterium. Its description in RNAcentral is "partial 16S ribosomal RNA". It matches the Rfam family "Bacterial small subunit ribosomal RNA", at positions 524 to 776 of the family's 1533-position model. The record is from RNAcentral.